RNAcentral lists this ribosomal RNA (249 nucleotides) under uncultured bacterium. RNAcentral's name for it is "partial 16S ribosomal RNA". It matches the Rfam family "Bacterial small subunit ribosomal RNA", at positions 57 to 305 of the family's 1533-position model. The record is from RNAcentral.
GCAAGUCGAACGGUGAAGCCCAGCUUGCUGGGUGGAUCAGUGGCGAACGGGUGAGUAACACGUGAGAAAUCUGCCCCUGACUCUGGGAUAAGCGCUGGAAACGGCGUCUAAUACUGGAUAUGAACCGUGGAGGCAUCUUCAACGGUUGGAAAGAGUGUUUGGUCAGGGAUGAGCUCGCGGCCUAUCAGCUUGUUGGUGAGGUAAUGGCCCACCAAGGCAUCGACGGGUAGCCGGCCUGAGAGGGUGACC